RNAcentral lists this ribosomal RNA (394 nucleotides) under uncultured bacterium. RNAcentral's name for it is "bacterial SSU rRNA". It matches the Rfam family "Bacterial small subunit ribosomal RNA", at positions 775 to 1167 of the family's 1533-position model. The record is from RNAcentral.
GGAUUAGAUACCCGGGUAGUCCAUGCCGUAAACGUUGGGAACUAGAUGUGGGGGCCAUUCCACGGCUUCCGUGUCGCAGCUAACGCAUUAAGUUCCCCGCCUGGGGAGUACGGCCGCAAGGCUAAAACUCAAAGGAAUUGACGGGGGCCCGCACAAGCGGCGGAGCAUGCUGAUUAAUUCGAUGCAACGCGAAGAACCUUACCAAGGCUUGACAUAUACGAGAACGGGCUAGAAAUAGUCAACUCUUUGGACACUCGUAUACAGGUGGUGCAUGGUUGUCGUCAGCUCGUGUCGUGAGAUGUUGGGUUAAGUCCCGCAACGAGCGCAACCCUCGUUCUAUGUUGCCAGCACGUAAUGGUGGGAACUCAUAGGAGACUGCCGGGGUCAACUCGGA